UAAGUUUGUUGCAGUUAAAAGCUCGUAGUUGGAUUUCGGGUGGGUUGGCGCGGUCCGCCUUUGGUGUGCACUGCGUCGGUCCACCUUCCAGCCGGGGACGGGUUCCUGGGCUUAACUGUCUGGGACUCGGAGUCGGCGAUGUUACUUUGAGUAAAUUAGAGUGUUCAAAGCAGGCCUACGCUCUGAAUACGUUAGCAUGGAAUAACGCGAUAGGACUCUGGCCUAUCCGUUGGUCUGUGGGACCGGAGUAAUGAUUAAGAGGGACAGUCGGGGGCAUUCGUAUUCCGUUGUCAGAGGUGAAAUUCUUGGAUUUACGGAAGACGAACUUCUGCGAAAGCAUUUGCCAAGGAUGUUUUCAUUAAUCAAGAACGAAAGUUGGGGGCUCGAAGACGAUUAGAUACCGUCGUAGUCUCAACCAUAAACGAUGCCGACUAGGGAUCGGCGGGUGUUCUUUUGAUGACCCCGCCGGCACCUUAUGAGAAAUCAAAGUUUUUGGGUUCCGGGGGGAAAAUGGGGGGAAAAAA
RNAcentral lists this ribosomal RNA (524 nucleotides) under Chlamydomonas mexicana. RNAcentral's name for it is "SSU rRNA". It matches the Rfam family "Eukaryotic small subunit ribosomal RNA", at positions 605 to 1142 of the family's 1831-position model. The record is from RNAcentral. Lineage: Eukaryota; Viridiplantae; Chlorophyta; Chlorophyceae; Chlamydomonadales; Chlamydomonadaceae.